AGCGAACGCUGGCGGCAGGCCUAACACAUGCAAGUCGAACGAACUCUUCGGAGUUUGUGGUGGACGGGUGAGUAACACGUGGGAACGUGCCUUUAGGUUCGGGAUAAUUCAGGGAAACUUGUGCUAAUACCGCAUGUGCCCUUGGGGGGUAAGAUUUAUCGCCUUUAGAGCGGCCCGCGUCUGAUUAGCUAGUUGGUGAGGUAAAGGCUCACCAAGGCGACGAUCAGUAGCUGGUCUGAGGGGAUGAUCAACCACAUUGGGACUGAGACACGGCCCAAACUCCUACGAAAGGCAGCAGGGGGGAAUCUUGCGCAAUGGGCGAGAGCCGGACGCAGCCAUGCCGCGAGAAUGAUGAAGAACUUAGGAUUGGAAAAUUCUGUCACCAGUGACGAUAAUGACGGUACCCGGAGAAGAAGCCCCGGCUAACUUCGUG
RNAcentral lists this ribosomal RNA (433 nucleotides) under uncultured bacterium. Its description in RNAcentral is "partial 16S ribosomal RNA". It matches the Rfam family "Bacterial small subunit ribosomal RNA", at positions 29 to 507 of the family's 1533-position model. The record is from RNAcentral.